This 83-nucleotide transfer RNA is filed under the name Flavobacteriales bacterium. RNAcentral's name for it is "tRNA-Leu". It matches the Rfam family "tRNA". From Rfam's summary of the family: Transfer RNA (tRNA) molecules are approximately 80 nucleotides in length. Their secondary structure includes four short double-helical elements and three loops (D, anti-codon, and T loops). The record is from RNAcentral. RNAcentral also lists the same sequence under 1 other name. Lineage: Bacteria; Pseudomonadati; Bacteroidota; Flavobacteriia; Flavobacteriales.
ACCCGGGUGGCGGAAUUGGUAGACGUGUACGCUUGAGGGGCGUAUGUCCUAUGGACGUGUGGGUUCGACUCCCAUCCCGGGUA